GACACCAAUAAGGACAUACAGACAUUGCAUUGUUCCCUGUGUAAAAAAAAAAAGAAAUAGGAAAAAUACAGAGAGGCUGUGAGUCAAGGGCUGUUGCAGAGAGAAUAUUUGGCCAUUCACAUCAGUUCCUGCCCCAGUGGAGCUUAAAAUCCCAGAGAGAAGUCCGGAGAGGAGACGCUGUUGAGCACUUCGGAGGCGGGGCUGGGCUCUCAUGGCACUAAACCCCACCCACAAGUAUUGUGAUACGUGGGUCUACAGGAGGCGGCGGGGAUAAAUUAUGAUAAUUUGUGUCAUUUUGUCCCGCCUCCCUGCAUUUGGCGCAACGAUUCCCAGUGAAAUCUCCUUAUCCUACUGACUUCACUAGAAAGUGGGUGGGAUGCGGGAGAUGCGGCCACACCUCUACGGGCGCAGGGGUCUACCUGAACAACUGUGUAACCAGGCAUCCACUCAUCGGGGGUUCAGGCAGAAAGAUAACGUUAUUGUGGAAAUGAUUUUCUAAACACAUGAUAAUAAAUGUAAUUGGAUAACAAAUAGUGAUCUUCUGUGAGCAGCUGACCAGGACCGUCGUGUUCCCUAGCUGCUCAUGGAAUGUGCAUUACUACAUACCUUCCAUUAUUUACCAAUCACACCCAUGCAAUUGACUAAAUCAUUUUUAAACCAGGGCUGUGAGUGCUGCAGUGGAAGCACAGAAGUGGUUUCUCAGACAACUGCCUGCUAAUGACCUGAUAGCCCCGUAACUCCCGGCUGCCGCUAACUCAGGCAGAAAGUUGUUGAUUGCUUAAUUGAAUGUAAAUUUUCUAGCUCCGUUGGUCAAUUAACUGAUCUCUCCAUGACUUUUCCAAUCAAUAAACUAACGCUCUGACAAAACCACCGUCCUAUCAAUAGCAUAUUGUUCCUGGUAUUAGGUGAGAUAGAUUUGCUGAUGGGACAAAUCAGUCACUGCAAACAUUUGGUUAUACGUUCUAAGUUCCAUUAUGUUCUGUAUCACCUGUCACCUUUUCAUGAGAUGUGAUGAUAAUGUAACAGCACGGCUAUCAGAAAACUGGAAUAGACUUAAAUACAAAUCACAUACAUACACAGGGGGAGAUUUAUCAAACCUUGGAAAGAAAUAAAGUGUAGAGCGUUAAACUACCCACUGAUCAGCUCCUGUCAGUUUUCAAAUACAGCCGGUAACAUGGCAGUUAGACGCUGAUUAGUUGGUACUUUAUCUCUCUUCACUUUAUUUCUCCUCAAAGUUUCAUAUACC
This is a long non-coding RNA of Pseudophryne corroboree (corroboree frog), 1246 nucleotides long. RefSeq lists it as uncharacterized. The transcript has 3 exons. The record is from RefSeq and is a predicted model, not a curated record. NCBI's taxonomy places the organism in Eukaryota, Metazoa, Chordata, Amphibia, Anura, Myobatrachidae.